Molecule: transfer RNA, 78 nt
Filed under: Luteitalea sp.
Lineage: Bacteria; Pseudomonadati; Acidobacteriota; Vicinamibacteria; Vicinamibacterales; Vicinamibacteraceae
Description: tRNA-Pro
Rfam family: tRNA
About the family: Transfer RNA (tRNA) molecules are approximately 80 nucleotides in length. Their secondary structure includes four short double-helical elements and three loops (D, anti-codon, and T loops). Further hydrogen bonds mediate the characteristic L-shaped molecular structure. tRNAs have two regions of fundamental functional importance: the anti-codon, which is responsible for specific mRNA codon recognition, and the 3' end, to which the tRNAs corresponding amino acid is attached (by aminoacyl-tRNA synthetases). tRNAs cope with the degeneracy of the genetic code in two manners: having more than one tRNA (with a specific anti-codon) for a particular amino acid; and 'wobble' base-pairing, i.e. permitting non-standard base-pairing at the 3rd anti-codon position.
Source: RNAcentral
CGGGGCGUAGCGCAGCCUGGUUAGCGCGCCAGUUUGGGGUACUGGAGGUCGGCGGUUCGAAUCCGCUCGCCCCGACCA